CCAUUGUUACAUGUCGGGUUUUUUUUUUAUUAUUUGCAGUUUUUUAAAAAUGUUAUAUCUCUGUCUAAAGUUUUGAAAAUCCUUUGUUUGAUAAAACAGCAUCUUUGGUUGUUGUUUUGUUCUAAAUCUUUUUAUUUUACUUUCAAAUUAUUAUAUCUCUAGCCCAUUUCGUGAUGGAAACGAGCAGUUAUCCAAUUUUAUUAAACAGCAUAUCAGGGGAUACGAUAAAGAUAUAACUGAUGACAUAAUAAUAGCAUCAAUUGAACAAUAUUUCACAUCAAAGAAGACAAUGAGAAAGAAGGGGUCUCAUCGAUAAAACAUUAAAGCAGUCGCUGCUUCUACACAGCGCAAGUUGAAUAAAAGUAAAAGACGGACGAAGGUUCUUCAAGCAAUGAACCUGCCUGAAGAAAAGAAGGCAAAAGUUUUGAAAGUCCUUGGGGUACAGUAUAUGUCAUCAGAGGAAGAGAUAGAUGAUAACAAUGGGCGAUAUUUUACUGUCCAUUCGCUUCCGUGGAGAUGCAAAAAGUUGAAUU
Long non-coding RNA from Hydractinia symbiolongicarpus, 533 nucleotides. RefSeq lists it as uncharacterized. Lineage: Eukaryota; Metazoa; Cnidaria; Hydrozoa; Anthoathecata; Hydractiniidae. The record is from RefSeq and is a predicted model, not a curated record. The transcript is spliced from 3 exons.